Molecule: small nuclear RNA, 182 nt
Organism: Phodopus roborovskii (desert hamster)
Lineage: Eukaryota; Metazoa; Chordata; Mammalia; Rodentia; Cricetidae
Product: U2 spliceosomal RNA
Exons: 1
Source: RefSeq, a predicted model, not a curated record
AUUGCUUCCUCACCUUUUAGCUAAGAUCAAGCAUAGUAUCUAUUUUAAUAAGUUCACUGUCUUGUGCAGCCUCUCUUUGAGGACUAUGUAAAUGACUAUUUGGAGAAGAGAGAUGGAACUGAGGCUCACUCCAUCAACUGUACGCCACCUAUUGCAGUACCUCCAGGAAUGGUGUACCCCUU